Molecule: RNA transcript, 2152 nt
Organism: Lolium perenne
Lineage: Eukaryota; Viridiplantae; Streptophyta; Magnoliopsida; Poales; Poaceae
Gene name: transcription factor SRM1-like
Source: RefSeq, a predicted model, not a curated record
GUUCCUCCUUCCCAGGUUCUCUGAUUCUCUCUCAAGAUCCCAUCUUGCUGCAUAAUCUCUGGAAAGAAGAUCACAACGGUGGCUUGCCCGAGUUUCACCUCUAAGCUUUGAACUUGAAGCUGCAUUGAAGUUGGCUAGAUAUUUGUGCAGAAAAUUGAUGAGCAACCAGAGUCGCUUUGGUGGUCUGAAUGUCUGAUAAUGGAUAUGAACUUCAGUUGAAGCCUGGUUGACUAUGCUCGACCUAGCAGGGAGGAGGAACCCAUGGCGUGAUGGAAGAUGAGGAUCCGAAAUUGCAGAGAUGAUGUCUCAAGGAAUGAGCACUAUUUUUGGUUAUCAGGCUAAUUGAUCUUUGGUUAUUGCUAAUUUUUGGUGUAGCAAAUCAUGCUUCUCCGUACAAGUUGGUAGAGGCAUGAAGGCAAAACAACAAAAGGAAAUGGCCCCUGGUGUGAUAUUUGGUCAUGUUCUAGACCAGAGUAUCUUUAUAUUAAUUCAAAGACGGACAAUUGACGUAGAAAUGACAUGUUAGUCCAAUCUCGAAGGCUGCGGUUGCAGAGAACGAGUUAUGUUGAUAUACGAAAUCUGGGGCAUUGGCUUAUCGUGGCACCUUUAACCACAUAUUCUUCUUAUCUUUUCAGUUCUUUUAGUUGUCUGACAAAUGUCAAACCUCCGUCCGGGCCGACCGCCUCUUGUACGUCCCCGCGCGACACCCACGCCGGCCUCCUCCUGCACGUCCUGUGCUAUUCAGGUAUUAGGCUGUUUAUUGAAAUAUCACCACACUCCAGUACCAGUGGAUUCCCACAAAUCUUGCAGGUUCAGGGGCAGGCCACACCAACGGCAGAAGCGAGAGCUCAGAAAUUGUUUGGUAUCCAUCAUCAACCUUUGCACCUAUUCGUGAUAUAUGCGGCUUUGCUAGAUGUACCUUCAUCCAUGGUUCUUCCAACUGUGGUUGAUGAUCCGUAGGAGCUACCGGCAUCAUCUGAUACAUCUGGAAUAAAUAAGAGCUGUAGAAAGUACAGAAUGAUGAUACUUAAAGAGAGAUGUCAGGCAUCGCUGGAUUUAUCAGUGGAAGAUGUCGUGGUGGCGUGGUCCAUCACUCCCGCCACCGUUCGGCGAGGCACCAUGGAUCCUUCUUUUUAAUCCAAUCUUACUAGCCUAUUUGGUAUUGCCGCCUCUGUAGAGAUGCGUCGUUCUGAGGGCUGGCAUUAUCUACGGCAGUAGCGAACCAACGUUGAAGCUCUCAUGGGCGCAAGGCAUAUAACCAAGCAGGUUAAGUCUGGACAGAAUGUCAUGCCAUAUCUGUUUAGAGAAGGAACAUUGAGUGAGCAAAUGGGGUAUAGACUCAACCUCCUGAUCACAUAAAGCGCGGGUGUCAUUAUCAUUCAAGUCAUGGCGUUUGCGCCUUUCUACUGUCCAACAUCGGUCAAGCGAGGCGUGCCAAGCAAAUACUUUGCAUUUGAGAGGGCUCCAACAUUCCUAGAUUGAGUUGUGAUGAGGAGAGAAUAUGGAGCCUUCAAAAAAUGCUUUGUAAGCAGAUUUAGCAGAGUAUGAGCCUGACUCUGUGAGGUUCCAAUUUAAGGUUUCCUGCGAGCCCGGAUACAGCUCCUGCUCUGCUCAGCAGUGAUGUCUGCUAACUGAAGAAAUAGAAUGAUAGCUUCAGUGGAGAGGGUUCCACUAAUAUCCCUGAUCCAGGCAUUCUCUGGUAAGGCUGAGGCGACUCACCGGUACUUGAUGACACGAGGACUGAGAGUAGCAACCACGGCAGGGGCAAGAUCUGCAAUACUCUGCCCAGCAAGCCAUCUAUCCGACCAGAAAGGAAGGUUAGUGCCAUUACCAAGGGUGGCUGUAGUUACUGCAUAAACAAGGGCUUUGACGUGGCGACUAAGAUGGAUGUGAAAGUUGGUCCAAGGGCGAAACAGUUGCCUAAUAGUACUUCAUUUCAGGAGAUAUUGGUGGCCCAAUCUUGAUAACCAUAUAUGCCUUUUUAAUAUAAGAACAUAAAUGUGGUUCCAUGUUAGAGAUAUGCUUAGAAGUAGCACCAUGUUCAUGUUUUUGUUCCGGUGGGAAACAUAAUUUAUUUCUAAAAAUGUAUUCAAUACUAGAUGACCAAAUAGACGAUGCAUCACUUGGUGCUUACGUUUUGGCUAUUGAGCUA